This 670-nucleotide ribosomal RNA is filed under the name Swertia punicea. RNAcentral describes it as "eukaryotic LSU rRNA". The stretch from base 280 to 435 matches the Rfam family "5.8S ribosomal RNA". The record is from RNAcentral. Lineage: Eukaryota; Viridiplantae; Streptophyta; Magnoliopsida; Gentianales; Gentianaceae.
AGUCGUAACAAGGUUUCCGUAGGUGAACCUGCGGAAGGAUCAUUGUCGAAUCCUGCGAAGCAGACGACCCGAGAACUUGUAUAUCACAGGGGCGCCUGGGACGCGGGAAACCACGGACCGGCGCCCUGAGCACGACGUCGACCAUCGGUCGCCCGUCGUGCACAUAAACAACCCCGGGCGCAUAAAAGCGCCAAGGAAAACAAGAAAAGGAUUGCCUGCCUCUCGAUGCGCCGUACGCGGAAUGCGCGGGAGGGAAAAGGCGCCUGAAUAAACAUAAACGACUCUCGGCAACGGAUAUCUCGGCUCUCGCAUCGAUGAAGAACGUAGCGAACUGCGAUACUUGGUGUGAAUUGCAGAAUCCCGUGAACCAUCGAGUCUUUGAACGCAAGUUGCGCCCGAAGCCAUUAGGCCGAGGGCACGUCUGCCUGGGCGUCACGCAUCGCGUCGCCCCCCCAACCUCGUGCGUUGACUCGUACGGGUGACAUGAGGGGGCGGAUGAUGGCUUCCCGUGUCUAGUCGCGGCUGGCCUAAAUGUGAGUCCCUUGCGACGGACGUGACGACAAGUGGUGGUUGAUUGCCUCAACUAAGGUGCUGUUGUUUACGGACGUCGAAUUAGGAAUCUCUCCGACCCUAAUGCAUGCAUCAUAAUGCUUGCUACGACCGCGACCCC